Molecule: long non-coding RNA, 522 nt
Filed under: Androctonus crassicauda
Lineage: Eukaryota; Metazoa; Arthropoda; Arachnida; Scorpiones; Buthidae
Source: RNAcentral
GGGUUGGUGGCUUGUUUUGUUUGUCAGAUAUUUUCGUGGUGUGGAUGGCUGUUGCAUGGGGCGGUCAUUUAUGAGUCUUUUUUCUUCACAUUGGUAUAAAUUUCCAUGGUCCCGUGGCACCCCCCUUAGCUGAAAUCGUAGUAAGAGAAGCGGAGGCUAAAGUCCUUUAUAAACUCUACAAUGGCAUGAGAUUCUAUUUAUGUUAUGUCAAUGAUAUAUUAACAGUAUGGGACAAAGGGCAGGAUCCAAAAGUCUUAAUGGAAAGUUUAACAAUAAAAGUGUAUGGUAUAGUAUUGAAAGAGCAACAGGUUAGCCAUUCAUCUGCACAGGUUUUAGACAUUAAGAUAGAAAUAAGAGAUAAGAAAGUAGAUACCUCAUCCAUCAUUGCUUUCAACUGCUUCAAUCACUUUGUUAUGUACACUAAUUCCAAAUAAAGCAUUAUCUGCAGUAUACAUAUAAUAAUCACUUUAAUCUAAGAGAAUAUACAAACGUUUUCAGCAGUACAUACCGCCAUCAUCAGGU